This 608-nucleotide long non-coding RNA is filed under the name Homo sapiens (human). Its description in RNAcentral is "non-protein coding lnc-HRAS-3:1". The record is from RNAcentral. Lineage: Eukaryota; Metazoa; Chordata; Mammalia; Primates; Hominidae.
ACAUAGCCGAAAGUUGCAGAGAUGAAGGGUGAAAGCUGGAAUGAUUGGGUUUUAAUGGGUCAGGUCUGGGACCUGGCUUUUCUCCUGGAGCAGAGGGAAUACUUGUCAUGGUAAUGGGGUAGCCCAGAGGGUGUGGACACGGCUGGGAAAAGUGAGGCUUCAGUUUGGGGGUCAGAGCAAGAGUCGGUCAGUGGUCACCUGGGACCUCCAGCAGGCGCACCUGCAGCCCCCGAGACUCCCACGUGCCUGCCAGACACCACGCCCCACCCCGCACCGGUGGUCUGCUCUGCCGACCCGCAGGUCUGCUGCCGCUGCAGGUUGGCUCUUGAGUCCCUGGACCCUCGCACACUGCGGCUGCUGUGGAGACAGCGAGAACUGGAGAUCCAGGCCUUGCGGUGGGCCAUCCAGAAUGGCGAGGACGCCCGGCUCUGCCACAUCCUGGAAGAGGUGGCGGGGCUUCCGCCCAAGAGGUCUGCAGCACAGUCCCCAGCCCAACCCAACCCCGCCCUGUCCUCGCCCGGACUCCUGGUUUCUGUCUGACCCCAACCCCAACCGCUGAGGCAGAUCCUUACCCUCAUCCUUGCCCGCGCUGACCCUCCACCCUGAUC